Molecule: ribosomal RNA, 112 nt
Filed under: Streptococcus sanguinis
Lineage: Bacteria; Bacillati; Bacillota; Bacilli; Lactobacillales; Streptococcaceae
Source: RNAcentral
UUAAGUGACGAUAGCCUAGGAGAUACACCUGUACCCAUGCCGAACACAGCAGUUAAGCCCUAGAACGCCGGAAGUAGGGGGUUGCCCCUGUGAGAUAUGGUAGUCGCUAGCU